GACAGAGGGUGCAAGCGUUGUUCGGAAUUACUGGGCGUAAAGCGCGCGUAGGCGGCUGUCUAAGUCGGGUGUGAAGGCCCCGGGCUCAACCUGGGAACUGCAUUCGAUACUGGACGGCUAGAGUAUGAGAGAGGGAGGUAGAAUUCCACGUGUAGCGGUGAAAUGCGUAGAUAUGUGGAGGAAUACCGGUGGCGAAGGCGGCCUCCUGGUUCAAUACUGACGCUGAGGUGCGAAAGCGUGGGGAGCAAACAGG
RNAcentral lists this ribosomal RNA (253 nucleotides) under uncultured bacterium. RNAcentral describes it as "partial 16S ribosomal RNA". It matches the Rfam family "Bacterial small subunit ribosomal RNA", at positions 524 to 776 of the family's 1533-position model. The record is from RNAcentral.